UAGUCCUGUUAAGAGAGGCAAAAAUAAUUACAUUUCCCCCCCCUGCUUCUAAUGCAUUUGUAAUAUUGUUCUGUUUGAAAGCCACAUAACAAUGAACUUGCCUUCAGCCUGGAAAGCCAAUGCUAAAUCCCUAAUGAGGACUCACUGGAAAGCACCAAACUCUCUUUCAGCCUAAAGCAAACGAUGUUGAGGAUGAGGAGAAAACUGGAAUAGUUGUGAGGAAUAUGACAAAUGAAGAGGGCGAGGCUCUUCACACAUUAAAACUAAAACUAAAGUCUGACACAAAGCUAAAGUAUUAACAUACAAAAUAUCUUGAAUCUUUGUGAACACAAUUUAGAAAUAAAAUCUACUUGUUCAUCCAAAAUAGAAGUAACUCAGUUGACCACCGUAACUUUCCCCAAAUCUGUUCAGUAUCAAAAUAUUACUUUUACCAUGUGCCCAGAGAGUUCUGCCUGUGCCUCCUCCUCCUCCAUCUCAGUUUUGCCCUUGCAGAACUUAGCAGGGAGAAGGAGGACAGGGACAAAGCCAGAAGCAGAGGACUCUGCCUGCCACUUCUUGGCCUCGCUGUCUCCACCCUGCUGCUCCCAAUGGGCAUCAGACACUGGUGAAUUCCAAUGAAGGCCUUUUUCAUUUCUGCACAGCAUAAGCCUUGAGAUAGCUGAGAAGCAGGGAGUGGCUGCUGUCAGCUGAUAUUCAAACAGAGAGCAAAUUUAGAGAGUAGGGUUCAUUAUUGCUCUUCUGGCUGAAAAAUGGCCGCACUGUAAGACUUUUCCCAUGGCAUCACAAAGCUGAAAAAGACCCAGAAUCCUCUAUUCACACUUCUUACCCUAGAAGUUACUUUCUGCAAAUACAAGUGAGGGUGGAUGUUUAAAAUAUCCCCCUGGCGAAAAAGGCAAAUGCAAAAAAAUUGCAGAGAGGCAUAUUUUUGAUGCUUUCUUUUUGGAAUGGCUAAUUGAUUCUAUUUUUCAAAGGCUACAAAAGACACCUUAAAUAAAACAGCAGCAAAAAAGUAGGGAAACACUUCGGCAUGACUGUUUAUCUUCUUAAAAUACCCCCCCAUCAAAAGUCCUCCUCAGCUUCAAUAACUAACAGUUCCUUAGUUUUGCACAAACGACUCAAGAAAUAGCGAAGUCUGUGUGCCUGGAUGUGUUUGUGUUCUGUAAGGAGGAAUUUAAAAAUAACCCUCAAAAUAGGGAGUGUCUUCUGUAUUUCUCUCCCUCCUUCUACCCCUUGGUACUCAUACAUUUCGGCUCCCGAACGAUUGAAACCUGGAAGUGAGUGUUCCGGUUUUCAAACAUUCUUUCAGAAGCUGAACGUCCAGCGCAGCUUCCGAUUGGCUGCAGGAUGCCCCUGCAGCCAAUCAGAAGCCACACCUUGGUUUCUGAAUGUUUCAGAUGUCGAAUGGACUUCCGGAAUGCAUUCUGUUCAAAAACCAAGGUACGACUGUAUUCCAUUUUGUUCCAUGCCACCCUCCAAUACUGCUCCCCUCUCAUCCCAUUGCCUUGUACUUCAGUCCUCCCUGCUUGUGUCGGCUGUGAAGCACUCUGGAGGCAAGCCCAACCCAGCCCAGCAGAACCACAACACCAAGCAUGGCACUUCUAGGCAUUGUGAGGCCCCUCAAAACUGGCUGUUGUGGACUAACCAUAUUCACAGAUUUUUAUCUCUAAUGCCCACUGACCAGCAGUGAAGUCUGUGUGAAAAUAAGUAAAUAAAAGUUUGCAUCUGAAAGCAACAGCCUGUGUAUUGGGCUUUUAUUGGAAUUGUCCCCACCCCCAAUCCAAGUUUGGAGGAGGAACAGAAUUCCCAAGCCAAUGUUUCAGUUAUUCAGUGCAACUUGUUUUUUGUUGUGAGGUGAGCACCAUAACCCCAAUAUUAUAGUUUUGAGGGAACAAUGACUAAUUUUCAAACUUUUUCUUGUAGCCACUGGGUUCUGGACUACAUAUGUGCCAAAUUCUAAAUUUCUGGGUGCCUUGGAUGUACAUUAACCAUUUGAGAGAGAAGUGCAAAUUUGCCCUCCACUUUUAGGUAUCUUAUUUUCACAUCUUCCUAGUGUCCUAGUCUAUGCAUGACAAGCCAGAUGCAGUCCUAUCUGGCCUGCUAACCACCCAUUUAGACUUUUGCAAUGGGUUAGACAUGGAGCCAACUUUUAAAAAGCACUGAAAAUUGCCGUUGGUCCAGAAUAUGCUCCCAAGAUUAUUUUGGCCACAUUACAUCCCAGCUCUGCCAGCUGCACUGGAUCCCAAUUAAGUUUCUGGGCUCAAUUUAAAGUGAUGCUUGCAUACUUUUAAAGCUCUUAACAACUUUAAAGGCCAAGUUACUUUUAAAAUUUUUUUAUUUUCUCUGAUCCUUAACAUCCUCAUCAGAGGAGCCCGUGCUUCAAGUGCCCUUGGCAAAUGAAGUGAGAUGGGUGGCUCCUAGGAAGAAGGCCUUUGUGGUGGUGGCAUCCUGUCAUUGUAGCACCCUCCCAUCUUUUUAAAAUUAUAGGCUUCUCAAAUCAGGGUUUGUGAUUUAUUUUAUAUGCAUGUUCUUAAUUGCUGUACUUAUUCAUCCUUCAAUAAUAACUUUUAUCAUCUGUAUCAUCAUAUUUAGUAUUGUAUUUUAUUCCUUUAAUUUUUUGUGAGCCACCCAGAAGGUAUAUGUCAUUGCACAGUGUGGAGGAAUGAAGGUACACAUCUGUCUGUUUUAGGGCUUGGAACAGACUUUCAAAGUUCAAAGCCUUGUGCUGUUGUGGACCUGUUUAGCAGGAGCUGCUUGGUGGCAGCAGGGAGCAAAGAGACUGGGAGCUUCUCUCUGGGAGCUGACAUCUUCACAAAGUCAAGAUAAUGAAGAAAUUACACAUCUUUGUACUUACGAGAGUUUGUUGAAAUAAUUGGCUGGUGAAGAACUGAACGAAACAGUAGUUACUAUCCGGAAACACUGUUCAGCAGAGUUCAGAGUUGGACAUCAGAAUUGGACAUUUGCUGAUUAUACAAACUUGAUUUCCGCUGGGUAAAGUCUGGCACCGUGACUUAUUCAAGGACUUUCAGAGACUUCAGUUUGAUAGUUUUCAUGUUUUGCAUUAUUCCAUAAAGUUUUCUAUACUGUAA
This is a long non-coding RNA of Podarcis raffonei (Aeolian wall lizard), 3086 nucleotides long. RefSeq lists it as uncharacterized. The transcript has 2 exons. Lineage: Eukaryota; Metazoa; Chordata; Lepidosauria; Squamata; Lacertidae. The record is from RefSeq and is a predicted model, not a curated record.